UUCUUUCUCACUCUUCCCACUAGUCUCGUUGUUGACAAAGGUGCUGGUACUUUUUUGGAGGGAUUUCAGUUUGCAAGUUCUCUCUGUCUGAAUUGUUCUUUGAAAAUGGACUUCAUUAAUUCAAGAAUAAUGGCGGGAAAAAAGUAAAAAAAAAAAAAAUUUAAUUAUGUAAUCCAAGUCGGGGGAUGAGUUACGUAACGACCACGUGUUGAGGGAAGGCGGAUUUUGUAACGCCAUCCGGAUAUUACCAUACAGACGCACACAGCGGAACGGUAACCUCGUGUGCAACUUCAACACACACACACAAAAAGGAAAUGGUGUGACGAAUUUCGAUUUUGAAAAAGAGAAAACGAGUGACAUGAGACGACGGACAAGAGCAGACAGAAUUGUCUUGUUUCAUAGUUGCUUUUGCUUGACCUCGUGGUGCAUCUGUUAUCAGCACGGUAUCGAAUUUCCAUAUCCAAUUAAGAAGAAAAAGACUCAAUUUACACCUAAAUUGGAUAGGGGUAAAACAAAACCCUGUGCCGACAAAUAACAGGACAAAUUGAGUGUCGAAAAAGAAAAUGAAUUCAGAAAUGAGUGGGGGAGGUGGCGGAAAUGGGGGGGGGGAGAGAAAAACGAAAAAAAAAGGUAAAGUAAAGAAAUUAGAAUUUAGGAAAAAAAAGGGGUAGGUAGAGAAAACUAAAGAAAAAAAAAGGGGGGAAUCUGUUAUGAAGAAGGAAAAAAAAACCCAAAAAAAAGAAAAAUGAAACUUGUUUUGGGGUUCGGAAUUUGUUUCAUCCUCCUACUGCUGGCCAAUCCAGGUGAGAAAAUGUUCAGAUUGAGUGAGAAAGAAAAUGGCGUGUGUACACAGGGUUAUGGGACAGGUAAGGGCAUUGGGAGUUGAAAGCCUCUCAAUUCACAACGGGAUCUGACCCUGAUUUAUUUUUAUUUUUCUCCCUCAUUUUGCCCAUCACGUUUUCAACCCCUUUUUUUUUCAAUGUUAUUUUCACCUUCGAUUUGACGAAAUUUGUUUUUUGUUGUCCAUCUCACGAACGGACUCCAUUUGUUUGUUUUUAAAAAAUCAAGGUUUAGAAGCUUUGCCGGUCUGUACGAGCAACCGCGUGGGGGAGUUGUCAUGGAGCGCUCGCAGUGGCGACUUCCAUCAUCACCGAAAAGAAAAAUGUCGACCAGAGAUUUCAAACGAAAGGGAAAGGAGACAACCGUAACAAAAAGAAGAAGACAGCGUUUUUAUGGCAGGGGGGAAGUUGUGUGCCGGUGCACGGCUCCACGUCGCCGGCCUAUAGACCGCAAGACGCGGGCUAAACAAGUUUGAAAGCCGCGUUACCGUACACUGGGUUUUAACCUUGUAAAUAAAAAAACGAACGAAAAGUGAAAAUGUCGUCCGGAGGGGGAGCGCGGAAUAAUACAAGUCGAGGAGUAAGAGCCCGGCAUUCCGGCACCCAAUCCAUCGACAUACGGCCUUGAAAUAGUCAAGUCUCUCUCUUCUCUCCUCGUUUUCUUUUUUUUUCACUCUCUCUCUCACUAGAGAAGAUAGAAAUAUAAAUAAAAUGUAUAAAAUUGUACAUCGACAAAAGACUCCCUCCAUUCCCCCCCUCUUGAACCUUUUGACCCAACCCCCCUCCCCCGAGGUAAAUGUUUCAUUUUAAAGCUGUAACUAGUAGAGCGUUAACCUUUUUGUUAACUUAAAAAACAAAAAUUACAGGUGCACAGAGUUCACGUAGAGGGCCUUUACGUCGCAAAAAAAAAAAACGUGCCAAAUUUCAUAUUUUUGAAAAUGGAGUCGUUGAUUUUUAAUACAGCAAUUUAAAAAAAAAAUGGCUUGAAAAAAUAAUCAAGAUCCAACGAGGAUUGAAGAGACUACGGUUUCGAAAGUUGAUUAGGUGGAUAACAAUUUUCUUUGCAUGUCAUCUCCACCUGAUGGAGAGAAGACACGAAGGUUGAAACGCGUACAGGAGAAAACAUCAGCGAUUCGUCGAAUGUCCGUCAACAGAGGGCCGACGCUAACGUGAAUAAUGCACGCACUGGUUAACAAAGCCUCUCGUAAUAUCUUAGCAUAUCAUAAAAUUUGAAAUGCUUCCUGUGAUGUGAUUGAAUAUCAAAGAAAAAAUUGUCAUUGAUGACGUAAACAAAUAAUAAUAAUAAUCAAAAGAAACUGAGGCCCAUUUCUAAUGACAUUCAAGUUUGUGCUUGUUAUCCAACCUUUAAUAGUUUUUUUUCUUGAAUUACUCGUUACGUCAAAACUCGUCGAGUAUAGAUUGGA
RNAcentral lists this long non-coding RNA (2263 nucleotides) under Daphnia magna. RNAcentral's name for it is "uncharacterized LOC123471101, transcript variant X2". The record is from RNAcentral. Lineage: Eukaryota; Metazoa; Arthropoda; Branchiopoda; Diplostraca; Daphniidae.